GUUAUUAUCAGGCUGGAUCAUCGGAAAUGACUUCUUCCCGUGGCAGCGAUAUGAGAUCUUACGGCCUCAAGGAGGCGGAGAGCACCAGUGGCCACCACAUCUGCAGUAUAAUCAGGAAUUUCGAAAGACACAGCGACAUGGGAUUGAGCAGCGAGAUUGUAAACCUCGUCGGGAAGAAUGGUAUCAAGCCAGCGGCGAAGAGAGGAGGCGUCAGUGAGAUCAGCAUAGUGUAGCUUCAU
RNAcentral lists this unclassified non-coding RNA (239 nucleotides) under Hevea brasiliensis (rubber tree). Lineage: Eukaryota; Viridiplantae; Streptophyta; Magnoliopsida; Malpighiales; Euphorbiaceae. The record is from RNAcentral.